AACUUUUGACAAUGGAUCUCUUGGUUCUCGCAACGAUAAAGAACACAGCAAAAAAUGCGAUAAAUAAUGUGAAUUGCAGAAUAUGUGAAUCAUCAAAUCUUAGAACGAAUAUUGCACUUUUUUAGUUUACUAAAAAAGUGUAAAGAGUUC
Molecule: ribosomal RNA, 150 nt
Filed under: Neocallimastix californiae
Lineage: Eukaryota; Fungi; Neocallimastigomycota; Neocallimastigomycetes; Neocallimastigales; Neocallimastigaceae
Description: 5.8S ribosomal RNA
Rfam family: 5.8S ribosomal RNA
About the family: 5.8S ribosomal RNA (5.8S rRNA) is a component of the large subunit of the eukaryotic ribosome. It is transcribed by RNA polymerase I as part of the 45S precursor that also contains 18S and 28S rRNA.
Source: Rfam by way of RNAcentral